RNAcentral lists this ribosomal RNA (497 nucleotides) under uncultured bacterium. RNAcentral's name for it is "partial 16S ribosomal RNA". It matches the Rfam family "Bacterial small subunit ribosomal RNA", at positions 28 to 507 of the family's 1533-position model. The record is from RNAcentral.
GAUGAACGCUGGCGGCGUGCCUAAUACAUGCAAGUCGAGCGAACAGACGAGGAGCUUGCUCCUCUGACGUUAGCGGCGGACGGGUGAGUAACACGUGGAUAACCUACCUAUAAGACUGGGAUAACUUCGGGAAACCGGAGCUAAUACCGGAUAAUAUAUUGAACCGCAUGGUUCAAUAGUGAAAGACGGUUUUGCUGUCACUUAUAGAUGGAUCCGCGCCGCAUUAGCUAGUUGGUAAGGUAACGGCUUACCAAGGCAACGAUGCGUAGCCGACCUGAGAGGGUGAUCGGCCACAGUGGAACUGCACCAGGGUCGAUCCGCCGGCGGGAGGCAGCAGGGGGAAAUCUGCCAGAAGGGGCGAAAGCCGGACGGAGCACCCCCGGGUGAGUGAUGAAGGUCUUCGGAUCGAAAACCUCUUUUAUGGGGGAAAAAAAAAUGUGAAAGAAACUCGCCCUGUCUGGAGGUUACCUAAUCAGAAAGCCCCGCCAAACUCCGUC